This 106-nucleotide small RNA is filed under the name Marmota monax (woodchuck). Lineage: Eukaryota; Metazoa; Chordata; Mammalia; Rodentia; Sciuridae. The record is from RNAcentral.
GCUGGGCAUGGUGGCGCAUGCCUGUAAUCCCAAUGACUCAGGAGGCUGAGGCAGGAGGAUUGCAAGCUCAAGACUAGCUUGGGAACUCAGCAAGACCCUAUCUAAA